CGGUCCUUUAACUCGGGACUGCGUAAUAACCACGGAGCGCUUGGAAGACAAACGAUGUCAUCUUCCUUCUGUCAGGAGGAUCCAAGUGAAGCUACAGGAGUUUCAUUAACGUCAAUAACUUGGACCGAACACUUUGUUUUGCUUGAUGAAGAGCAGGAAGGGCAGCCUGGAGAGAAAGAGAAGCCGGGUUGAGCCCACUACCAUCAUCCACGUACCACGAGGAAGAUGAGGGAGAGAAAUGAUCCUACCAUUAAAGAGACUGUGAAAAGAACGUUGAGAACAUCACCACUCUACAGGAAGACACAGUCCAGUAAUGGGUGUCAGAAGUUCAGUAGUGAACGACGGGUACUGUGGAAAAAUGGGUGUCAUUGUUGUACAAUGUCCUUUGACUCUGUUUACACAAGGUUAACACAAAAAGGUUUGAUUGUAGACUGAUAUUGGUAUGAAUUCAUGUUAUUCUCCUCUUCAAAAGAAACAAACAAUCAAAAUUACCUGCAGAAAGCCCUUGAUGGACGCUUCAGCUGCAUCGUCAGACUGGAAGGACUGAUGCAUUUACUGAGACGGGACGUGAGGGCCUACUCUGCGUGCUCAGAGUUCAAGCCCAGCAGGCUGCAGCGGGCCUGACAUAUUCUGGAACAGCAGCACAGUCUUUGGAUGACUCCUCUGAAGAUGAAAACAUGGUGAGUUCUUCUCAAGAGAAGCAGUACAGGUGUGCCUCAGCUCCACGGUCCCUCCUGCAGCCUCUGCUCCUGAUGCUAACCUCAUGUCUCCAUCACACCAAGCAGCAGACCUUGAUUGACAGACCUUUCUCCAGAGCUGCCCCCUCCCUCUGAAACCCCCUUCUCCAAAACACUAUUUGUGGCGUUUUUAAAGUCUUAUUUGCAUGAGAAUUGUUGAUCAUAACAUUUCCAGCAGA
This is a long non-coding RNA of Pleuronectes platessa (European plaice), 916 nucleotides long. RefSeq lists it as uncharacterized. The record is from RefSeq and is a predicted model, not a curated record. The transcript has 5 exons. NCBI's taxonomy places the organism in Eukaryota, Metazoa, Chordata, Actinopteri, Pleuronectiformes, Pleuronectidae.